Molecule: long non-coding RNA, 1959 nt
Filed under: Rattus norvegicus (Norway rat)
Lineage: Eukaryota; Metazoa; Chordata; Mammalia; Rodentia; Muridae
Description: long non-coding RNA NONRATT022179
Source: RNAcentral
UGACACCAAACACACCCAAAUUAAAUCUGUUUUAGCAUUUCAUUCAGAGUUUUCUUCUUGAUUCUUAUGUCAUACAGUUAAUUUGUUGACAAUGUUUAAACUACCAUCUGGGGUUGACUUAAGGCUCUAAUUUAUUAUCAACAGUUUAGUCCUUAUAGGAAUCUCUUGAGAUUCAAAUCACACACCAAUGAUUCUUUCUUUUGAAGUUGUUUCUUGUUGAAUGGAUGUGGUAUCUUGUCUGGGUAACCCAUAGAGAUAAAUGGAAACACAUACAAGAAGAGCUCCCAGUGUAAAUGAAAGUGCUGAAAAGAGAAGGAAAAAAAACUAUAAAAAUGGUGAACUUAUAUAGGGCUCACAUGAGCGCGCGCGCGCACACACACACACACACACACACACACACACACACACACACGACAACAUGGGGUAUCAUCCUUAAGAAUGCUACCUAUCUCUUUUAAGGCAGGAAGACAGGAUCUCUCAGUAGCCUGUAGUCCACCAAUUAAGUUAGACUGCGUAGCCAACAAACCCCAGGGAUCUGGGUUUCCAUCUCCCAGUGCCAGCACCACAAGCAUGUACCAGCACACUGGGCAUCUGUCUGUAAGCUCUGGAGAACCUCAGGUCCUCAUGCCUUUUACUGACGAGCCAUCUCCCAUCCUAAAAUCUCUGUCACUGUGGGUCUGCACUACCAGGUUGCAUGACUGCUAUUUUCUAAAUAGAAAGAUUGUCUAUUUAAGGAAAAAGAUAAAUAUCAAGGGAAUGAUAACAUACUUUUCAAAAACAUAAUUAAGCCUGUCUUGGACUGAUAAAACAAAAGGAUAUAUUAGUUCCCGUAUACUAUUUAUAAUUAAAGGAAACAGGUAAUAUAAUAUAUAUAUGAGUAGAAAAAUAAAAUGCAGUAUGAUUUGGUUUUGUUAUGAUCCCAGAAAACUUAGUAUAAAAGACAGUCACACAAUUCAGUUUCCUAAAACUAGUGAUUCAAGCCACUGAAAAUUCCCAGAUAGGUGGUCAGGUGAUGAUUACCUUUCCUGCUGCCCUUGACUCUUUUCCAUGUUACUCCUGAAAAUCAGGGUACACAAACCGCGUGUGAAGGCUAGCGUGCCUGCUGCACAAGCUUGAGUCCCCAGCACAUGUAUAAAAUGGGCACAGUGACACACAGGGAGCAGGGACAGCUAGUCUAGCAGGAUCAGUGUAGGCCUGCUUAGAAAUGAAGGGAGUGACUGACCAGACAUCCGGCAUUCACCCACAUGUACCCACACACCAAAAAGAAACAAAAACAAAAAGAUAAUAGUAAAACCCUUCGAUGACCUAAAUGUAUAAGUAGUGUGUACAUGACUCCUAAUGCCACAGCUCUAUAUCUGACAUAGAACCAGACUAUAUUCUAUGUAUGUGAACUACAGUACAAUGGCCCAGUACUGAUAGCUUUAGAAACUGGCAUGUAGACAGCAAGGACAGUGCUGCAUGCUUGCAAUCCCAAGGCAGGUGGUUCAGGAGUUCAGGUAACCAGCUGCACAGUGAGUCACACCAAUCUGAGUGACACCAGAUAGCCCCCACCCCUAACAGGCAUGUAAAGAGACAGCAUCAACCCACUGUUUUAGUCCACCUAUUAGAAAGACCAGCUCUGAGAGCAAAGUGUGAGGCAGUUUACAUCUUAACACCUCAGGAGUUACCGGAAAGACUGCUGAGACAGAAACAUUUUAUAUCCUUCCCAAGUUUUCCUCAGGAGCAGACACAAGGCUUAUAUGGCUGUAUUAGAACUACAGUUAAGAGUUUACCCAAGGGGCUGGAGAGAUGGCUCAGCGGUUAAGAGCACCCGACUGCUCUUCCAGAGGUCAUGAGUUCAAUUCCCAGCAACCACAUGGUGGCUCACAACCAUCUGUAAAGAGAUCCGAUGCCCUCUUCUGGUGUAUCUGAAGACAGCUACAGUGUACUGAUAUAUAAUAAAUAAAUAAAUCUUUAAAA